CAAGUGACGGCUGCCGCCCGCCAAUGCGAGCGCGGCUCGGCGCUUUCAAAAAAGCAGGUACAAAGGCAAAGAAUUGACACAAAAUCAGCAAAAAGGUGGGACUAGGUAUUGAAGCAGAAUGGUGGUCCAGCUCCGGUCUCUGUAUGUGGUCAGGACCAGAUGCUUACAAGGUCCACAGAGGAAACCUGCACAUAAGUUCAAGGUGGAAAGGAAGCAGGAUCAUGCCCUGAAAUGCCAACAUGACCUCCACAUACCAGAUGAGCUCCUGAAUAGUUCAUGCCAUCGAAAGCAACUUUGUCACAGCAGACAGCUUAUAUUUCCUUCUUACACUGAAAAUCUAAGGAGCACUGUCAAAUGAGAACUGCACCGGGAUUUUUUUUUUUUCAGUCAAAGUUCAUUGUGCGGUAUCUCUGCUCUGUUUGUUGCUCUGAGUAUUCAUCCUUGCAAUCUAGUAUGUUGUUCCUAAGAGGGAAACACAGUUCCCCCACCCCAUAGCCCUCAUCAGAGCGAACCAUCACUUAGGACCCCUGUUUAGUGUUACAUUGGCCUUAGUAUCCCUCUCACUUUUCAUGCCUGAUAUUUAUGAGUAUUAAAACAUUGUUGACUUUGGAAGCAGAGGUUAUAGACAAAGUUAAUUAUAGGUAAAACAUUGAUCCAAACACACCUGAAUCUUAAGGAAACACUGAAUUGUGAACCACAUCUUAAUUUUGCAAAUAGUCUCUAUCUUUACAGAGACCUGAGCCAGGAUUCUUUCUUCCCAACCCCUUUAGGGUAUCAUGGCUUAAACUUCGAAUCAGAUGUAACAGCUCCAGCUCAUCUCUUCAUGUUCAUGCUAAAGACACUACUCCCGUAUAAUUUAUAGAAUUUUGCACUGUUCUUUCUUUCUUGUCCCUUGUUUUGGAUCUGUGACCCUCAUUGUGUCUGACAUUUGGGUCUCAGCAGACUUGAGAGGUAUCGAGGGAAUAGAAGUCUUGGAAAUGUCAACACGUUGCCUGCUGUUCAUGAGUUAGAGUGACAUGUAUGUGCAAACCCAAACAGAGCUGGAAUGUCAAAUUCUAGGUCUUCUUAACCAGUGCUCUUCUCAGACAAUGUCUUUAGAGACUUAAUUCAGGAAAUCUUCACCUGAUGUGUGAUCAGCAGUUGCAGUGAGCAGUUCUGGGUGGGCAGGUGACUGACAUUUUUUUGUCAUCUGUAUGGGAUUCAAACCCACAAAGGGACAUGGAUACAGUUACAAACUGUGAUACCAUCUGCAUACAAAUUGGAGAAAGAAUUCAGCUCUCCCACCAUUUGAGCCAAGGGAAGCCCCAGGUGGUGCUUGUGUAAUAGGAUUGUUAUUGCAAGCUUCAGUGGGAUAGCUGCGAGUUCAACUUCUGUUCCUUAGCCUGGCAGUACAUAUUACUAAAUUUCCUGCAAACUUGUCAUUUGCAUGAUUCAGUUUGGCAUGGUCCCUCUCUGUCUCUGUGGUUUAGAGCCAUGCCAAUUUGGCUUGUGCUUUUUCCUUGAGCUAUCAAGUUCCUUUGCGUUUCGCUGGCUUUUUUGCAUUCUUUGUGCAUGGUCUUUUGUGUAGUUUACUAAGAAGGGCUUGAAUGUUCUGCUCUGAACAGUUCCCGUCUCUCAUUCUUACAUUGUUUUCUGUCACAAAUCUGUUGUUGCCAUGCAAGUAAAACUUUGAAAGAAAGGAAUUAAUUGCCUUAGGGCUAUGAUAACGUUAACGGCUAGGAGCUCAUCUCUCAGGUUCAUGAAUUCUUCUGCAGAGCAGCCAAAGCAGUAGAUUCCUACAUUUAUGAUCUUAUUAUAAGUCUUUUCUUUUCAUUUGCAAAAUAGACACAUUUUGAAUUUAAAAGAACUUACAUUUUGGAUAACAUUUUAAUUUCCUCAAUAGAUAUUACUUUAAAGGAUUCUGUGGGCUUGUAUUUUGAUGGUAUGUAGAAUGUACCAGACUUAAUCAAUCACCUGUGCUUGUGAAUUUGAACUUGGUUAACCUGGUCCCUUACUGUCCCUCAUUAAACAUAAAUUUAAUACUCAUAAAUGUUACAGAAUUGACAGCUCUGCAAACUGAAUCCCCUUUGCAUGAAACAAGUGUGAUAAAGGCAGAAGCAGUAUAAGCAGCCUACGACAGUAUGACCCAGCUAAGAUAGACAGACAGCAUCUGGGACAAUAAGCAAGUCAUUUCCUUUGUUUAGGCAGUUCCACCUUUGCUGGAAGCACCAGCAAGGAUGCCAGAUAGUACCAAUGGUGCUUGUUGUGUUUUGUGUUCUGAAUCCUUGUCCAUUAACAUGUGGAUCUAAAUAACGUGAUAUGCAUUUUACUACUGUACUCUUGUGACCUAUAGGUCAUUAUUGAUUGACAGAACUGGACUGCUACUGAAAUGAACAAUUUUCAAACAAAUGCCCUAGAGGUGAAAGACACUAUGGGCCAAAUCCUUAGCUAGUAUAAAUUGGGAAGUGCCAUUACUGGAGCUGUCAAUUUUACAUUAGCAAAAACUCUGGCUGAUAGCCCAUUACAAGUUUCCUAGACUGAAAGCUUUCCUAACCCUUGAUCAAGAACCUUGUUUUUUAAUGUUUUACAAUAGGAAAAGUUCUAAAAUCUUAAUUUUUGUGGGUUAAGAGAAACAUUAGUUACUUCUACACUCAGUAAUCUUCGUAUUUUUAUAUUGUUCCACCAGCUUAUAAAAAGCCAUAGGCCAUGUCUGCACUGCCUCCCUACUGAGUCAAGGACUGGUCCCAGGUAUGUGGGUGUAUGAUCACGACCCCUCUGGCCACCUAGGUUACUGAACUGCCAGGCCUGGGCUCAGAGAGCUGGAGUGAGUGGGCAGAGUUUGUUCCUCAGCAACAGACCCGAGCUCACCAGGAAGGUCAUAUAGGGCUGGCCAUGGUUUCUCUAGGUAGGUUUGGUGUCCCAGAGGGUAAAGAAUCAUGAAAGGGACUGUAAUGAGCUCAGAUCAGGGCCCAGAUGCUCCCAACUGAAUAAUUAGAGCAAUGGAUCCUCUGAGGUUGCAGGGAACCAACCCUGCCCCAUUGAAGCUCAGAUCAAUGCCCUGGGCCCAGCAGAUUCUAAUGGAGUAAUCAGAACAACCAGUCCCUGAGGUGGUGGGAAACAGGUCCCACUACUCCAGCCUUUAAUAGCUUGUCCCAAAUAGCAGUAUGCUGACCGGGCAAAGACUUUGAUUCUUGUUCCUGACUGAUCCAUAGUGCUUCAACUACUGGCUCACUCUGACUGUCUUAGGUGUCCAGUUUACCUGGAACUCUGGUCUUGACUCUUGACUGUGACCUUGGUUUUGACUCCUAGCUCCCUAUGAAGCCAGUCUAUGGACUUUGCCUAAUUAACCAAGUGACCUUUCCUGACAGGGACUGUUUUUUUCAUUUUUGUUUGGUCAGUACUUAACACAGAGCAGGGCAUAGGAUGGGGCUGGUCAAUCAUUGAAGUCUCUAGAUAAGACUACAGUACAAAUAAUAAAUAAUAGCCGCACCACCACUACACGCUGGCAGAGAGUGUUCUCACUCUUCGGGGUACAGAGCAAGAUUUUGCGUGUACCCAGCUGUGCCUCCUUUCUGACUUCAGUGGAGUCAGCUCAGAUUUCCUUCAGUGUAAAUGAGAUCAGAACCUGGCCCCAUCUUAAGACAAAGAUUUUUUUCCUAUUCCCCCUUUCAGGACAGAAUGCACCUGAGGGGGGGCCAUAAGAGAUUUUGCUGAGCUAAGCUGUUUGAAACCACGUGGUUAGCUCACUCUGCCAAACAAUUGCACUUUUAUUGUUCUUCUUUUACAUCUGACCUGACUGACAAGAAAAGCUGCUCACAGCAUGGGAGGAGGGUCUGCCAUUGAAACAUUCUGGUGUGCAGCAAUUCCAGGAAGAAGUUGUCUGCACUCUCAAACCACCCCCUUGCAAAAGCCUGGUUACCCAAGAAAAGAACAGGUGUGCUCUCACUUGUCCAGCAACCCUAUAUGCUAGAAGAGCAUCUCAUAUGGCAAUACAGAUUCCCAGGCUGGCAACUGGCUUCUCUUGAACAGGCUGAGCUCUCUAUCAAGACGGCUUACCAGCAUUGGGGAUGGGGAGGAUUUCCUUUACAAACACAUCGUCUCCUCUGGCAAUGAUUUAUUGCCAUUUAUGUUUCAGUAGCAUGCUAUCUUAAAGCUUAUUCCUGUAAACACUCCUAGGCCUACUGCUUCUUACUCUAGGGGUUAACAAGAUCAGACUCCAAGGAUUUGGUGCCAAAACGAAGCCAUCUUUGGCUGUUGGUAUUUCUUUGUAUCUUCUCAGAAGGAGAUUAUUCCUCAAUAUUUUAUUUAUCAGUUACUUUAGACAGCAGCAUCUAUUCAUUUUAAUCUUGCUGGCGGAGCCUUACUGUAAACAAGAUAGGCUAAACUCUCUGGUGGGAUGAACAGGAGCAGCUUCAUUGACCUUAAUGGAGUCCAUUUAUAUCAGCAGAUAACUUGGCCUGGUGUCUCUUAGUCGGCUGCAUUAUAUGGAUCUCCUUCAAGCUCUUUAAUAUGCUAUAAUAAAAAAGUUAAGUAACUCUU
Long non-coding RNA from Alligator mississippiensis (American alligator), 4518 nucleotides. RefSeq lists it as uncharacterized. NCBI's taxonomy places the organism in Eukaryota, Metazoa, Chordata, Crocodylia, Alligatoridae. The record is from RefSeq and is a predicted model, not a curated record. The transcript is spliced from 3 exons.